Pipistrellus kuhlii (Kuhl's pipistrelle) is the source of this 146-nucleotide long non-coding RNA. RefSeq lists it as uncharacterized. The transcript is spliced from 3 exons. The record is from RefSeq and is a predicted model, not a curated record. Lineage: Eukaryota; Metazoa; Chordata; Mammalia; Chiroptera; Vespertilionidae.
AGGCGGCUCCCAGCCCCUCCCCAGGCCGGCGGGGAAGGUGGGGCUGGGGGCGGGUUUGGGCUGCCAGACAGACACGAGAGCCCGCACACCUCCCUCUAAGGCGCCGUUACCUCCAGAGCAGCGGAAGGCUUCUUUUUGAGUUCCUC